RNAcentral lists this ribosomal RNA (2924 nucleotides) under Staphylococcus aureus. RNAcentral describes it as "23S ribosomal RNA". It matches the Rfam family "Bacterial large subunit ribosomal RNA". RNAcentral also lists the same sequence under 2 other names. Lineage: Bacteria; Bacillati; Bacillota; Bacilli; Caryophanales; Staphylococcaceae. The record is from RNAcentral.
GAUUAAGUUAUUAAGGGCGCACGGUGGAUGCCUUGGCACUAGAAGCCGAUGAAGGACGUUACUAACGACGAUAUGCUUUGGGGAGCUGUAAGUAAGCUUUGAUCCAGAGAUUUCCGAAUGGGGAAACCCAGCAUGAGUUAUGUCAUGUUAUCGAUAUGUGAAUACAUAGCAUAUCAGAAGGCACACCCGGAGAACUGAAACAUCUUAGUACCCGGAGGAAGAGAAAGAAAAUUCGAUUCCCUUAGUAGCGGCGAGCGAAACGGGAAGAGCCCAAACCAACAAGCUUGCUUGUUGGGGUUGUAGGACACUCUAUACGGAGUUACAAAGGACGACAUUAGACGAAUCAUCUGGAAAGAUGAAUCAAAGAAGGUAAUAAUCCUGUAGUCGAAAAUGUUGUCUCUCUUGAGUGGAUCCUGAGUACGACGGAGCACGUGAAAUUCCGUCGGAAUCUGGGAGGACCAUCUCCUAAGGCUAAAUACUCUCUAGUGACCGAUAGUGAACCAGUACCGUGAGGGAAAGGUGAAAAGCACCCCGGAAGGGGAGUGAAAUAGAACCUGAAACCGUGUGCUUACAAGUAGUCAGAGCCCGUUAAUGGGUGAUGGCGUGCCUUUUGUAGAAUGAACCGGCGAGUUACGAUUUGAUGCAAGGUUAAGCAGUAAAUGUGGAGCCGUAGCGAAAGCGAGUCUGAAUAGGGCGUUUAGUAUUUGGUCGUAGACCCGAAACCAGGUGAUCUACCCUUGGUCAGGUUGAAGUUCAGGUAACACUGAAUGGAGGACCGAACCGACUUACGUUGAAAAGUGAGCGGAUGAACUGAGGGUAGCGGAGAAAUUCCAAUCGAACCUGGAGAUAGCUGGUUCUCUCCGAAAUAGCUUUAGGGCUAGCCUCAAGUGAUGAUUAUUGGAGGUAGAGCACUGUUUGGACGAGGGGCCCCUCUCGGGUUACCGAAUUCAGACAAACUCCGAAUGCCAAUUAAUUUAACUUGGGAGUCAGAACAUGGGUGAUAAGGUCCGUGUUCGAAAGGGAAACAGCCCAGACCACCAGCUAAGGUCCCAAAAUAUAUGUUAAGUGGAAAAGGAUGUGGCGUUGCCCAGACAACUAGGAUGUUGGCUUAGAAGCAGCCAUCAUUUAAAGAGUGCGUAAUAGCUCACUAGUCGAGUGACACUGCGCCGAAAAUGUACCGGGGCUAAACAUAUUACCGAAGCUGUGGAUUGUCCUUUGGACAAUGGUAGGAGAGCGUUCUAAGGGCGUUGAAGCAUGAUCGUAAGGACAUGUGGAGCGCUUAGAAGUGAGAAUGCCGGUGUGAGUAGCGAAAGACGGGUGAGAAUCCCGUCCACCGAUUGACUAAGGUUUCCAGAGGAAGGCUCGUCCGCUCUGGGUUAGUCGGGUCCUAAGCUGAGGCCGACAGGCGUAGGCGAUGGAUAACAGGUUGAUAUUCCUGUACCACCUAUAAUCGUUUUAAUCGAUGGGGGGGACGCAGUAGGAUAGGCGAAGCGUGCGAUUGGAUUGCACGUCUAAGCAGUAAGGCUGAGUAUUAGGCAAAUCCGGUACUCGUUAAGGCUGAGCUGUGAUGGGGAGAAGACAUUGUGUCUUCGAGUCGUUGAUUUCACACUGCCGAGAAAAGCCUCUAGAUAGAAAAUAGGUGCCCGUACCGCAAACCGACACAGGUAGUCAAGAUGAGAAUUCUAAGGUGAGCGAGCGAACUCUCGUUAAGGAACUCGGCAAAAUGACCCCGUAACUUCGGGAGAAGGGGUGCUCUUUAGGGUUAACGCCCAGAAGAGCCGCAGUGAAUAGGCCCAAGCGACUGUUUAUCAAAAACACAGGUCUCUGCUAAACCGUAAGGUGAUGUAUAGGGGCUGACGCCUGCCCGGUGCUGGAAGGUUAAGAGGAGUGGUUAGCUUCUGCGAAGCUACGAAUCGAAGCCCCAGUAAACGGCGGCCGUAACUAUAACGGUCCUAAGGUAGCGAAAUUCCUUGUCGGGUAAGUUCCGACCCGCACGAAAGGCGUAACGAUUUGGGCACUGUCUCAACGAGAGACUCGGUGAAAUCAUAGUACCUGUGAAGAUGCAGGUUACCCGCGACAGGACGGAAAGACCCCGUGGAGCUUUACUGUAGCCUGAUAUUGAAAUUCGGCACAGCUUGUACAGGAUAGGUAGGAGCCUUUGAAACGUGAGCGCUAGCUUACGUGGAGGCGCUGGUGGGAUACUACCCUAGCUGUGUUGGCUUUCUAACCCGCACCACUUAUCGUGGUGGGAGACAGUGUCAGGCGGGCAGUUUGACUGGGGCGGUCGCCUCCUAAAAGGUAACGGAGGCGCUCAAAGGUUCCCUCAGAAUGGUUGGAAAUCAUUCAUAGAGUGUAAAGGCAUAAGGGAGCUUGACUGCGAGACCUACAAGUCGAGCAGGGUCGAAAGACGGACUUAGUGAUCCGGUGGUUCCGCAUGGAAGGGCCAUCGCUCAACGGAUAAAAGCUACCCCGGGGAUAACAGGCUUAUCUCCCCCAAGAGUUCACAUCGACGGGGAGGUUUGGCACCUCGAUGUCGGCUCAUCGCAUCCUGGGGCUGUAGUCGGUCCCAAGGGUUGGGCUGUUCGCCCAUUAAAGCGGUACGCGAGCUGGGUUCAGAACGUCGUGAGACAGUUCGGUCCCUAUCCGUCGUGGGCGUAGGAAAUUUGAGAGGAGCUGUCCUUAGUACGAGAGGACCGGGAUGGACAUACCUCUGGUGUACCAGUUGUCGUGCCAACGGCAUAGCUGGGUAGCUAUGUGUGGACGGGAUAAGUGCUGAAAGCAUCUAAGCAUGAAGCCCCCCUCAAGAUGAGAUUUCCCAACUUCGGUUAUAAGAUCCCUCAAAGAUGAUGAGGUUAAUAGGUUCGAGGUGGAAGCAUGGUGACAUGUGGAGCUGACGAAUACUAAUCGAUCGAAGACUUAAUCAA